GGAGAACACUGAGGCCAGUGUUGACUGGUGCCCACAGGUGCUGAUGGGAUGGAGUGCAAGACAGCUAAUGGUCGUCAGAGCUAAGAUUAACAAUAGGCAUAGCUAACAGUCAGUGGAGUGAUCAGCAGCCUGGAGUGGCAUGCAUGCCCACCCCGAGUCUUCCAACCCUAUAAGGAAAAAAAGAAUAGUUUCCACCAAGUCUAAGAAAAUAAACUCAUAACAAAAGUUUUGACACAUGGAAUGACACAUGGCAAGGAACAUAUCUUGUUGCACUGCUUCAGAAAAAUGGAAGCAUCAUGUUUCAGAUAUUAACAUCACAACACAAAGAAAUCAUCCAAGCCUACUGUACGCGGAGGUGGAGCUGUCUGGAUCAUUUCCAUAGCUGUAAGAACACAAGAAGCAUCUUGCUGCAGCAGAUCAAGGGACAUCCAAUCCAGUGGACAGUUUCCAACAAUGGAAAGCCAGAUGCUGCUGGCAAACCAAUAAGUGGAUUCUGGAGGUCUAGCAGACCACUGUUUGUCUGAGCAUCUUGUACUCAGAGAUAAACUGCUUCUACUCAUGUACUUUUUGUUCAAUUAAUAGGUCCAUUGUGGCCAUUUCAUAGCAUCAUAGAAUUUUGAAAUCUUCUGAUCCAACCCCUUGUUAGUGCAGAAAACUUGAAAGACCUAUCCACUAUGAAGCUCUCAAAAGCCAAUUAAGCUAGAAUCCAGCAUCACAUCUUAUGGAAAUUAAUUUGAUAUAUUAAAUCUGUUUUCUUUUGGUUUU
This is a long non-coding RNA of Hemicordylus capensis (graceful crag lizard), 765 nucleotides long. RefSeq lists it as uncharacterized. The transcript is spliced from 4 exons. Lineage: Eukaryota; Metazoa; Chordata; Lepidosauria; Squamata; Cordylidae. The record is from RefSeq and is a predicted model, not a curated record.